Molecule: ribosomal RNA, 253 nt
Filed under: uncultured bacterium
Lineage: Bacteria
Description: partial 16S ribosomal RNA
Rfam family: Bacterial small subunit ribosomal RNA
Source: RNAcentral
UACGGGGGGGGCAAGCGUUGUUCGGAAUUACUGGGCGUAAAGGGCGCGUAGGCGGCCAACUAAGUCAGACGUGAAAUCCCCAGGCUCAACCUGGGAACUGCGUCUGAUACUGGAUGGCUUGAGUUCGGGAGAGGGAAGUGGAAUUCCAGGUGUAGCGGUGAAAUGCGUAGAUAUCUGGAGGAACACCGGUGGCGAAGGCGGCUUCCUGGACCGACACUGACGCUGAGGCGCGAAAGCCAGGGGAGCAAACGGG